UCUUCAUUUCACACACACUCUCACCGGUCCGAGAGAGACGAGAGAGUGUGUGAAAUGAAGAGA
RNAcentral lists this microRNA precursor (63 nucleotides) under Pristionchus pacificus. RNAcentral's name for it is "mir-8364 microRNA precursor family". It matches the Rfam family "mir-8364 microRNA precursor family". Lineage: Eukaryota; Metazoa; Nematoda; Chromadorea; Rhabditida; Neodiplogasteridae. The record is from Rfam by way of RNAcentral.